UAUCUCUGUUGAAUAUUUUUGUAAUUUAGUUUGUUCGAUUCUGAAAUUUAAGAUAUUGCUUCUACAAAAACUUUAAUCUAACUAACUAUCCAAGUUCUAAUUAGAAUCCUAGACAGCACUCAAGAAAGCAAGACCUACGGUAACAUAUACAUAAAUAUAACAAGAUACAUCCAAUUUAUUCAAAACCUUAACAGUGUGGAAACUGGUAGAUUGACAGUAUCCUAGAAAUUAAGCUGGAAUAGGUAUCUACCUAAUAAAAAUGUACACAAAACUCGUUUUGAAACGAGUACUUUUUAUUAUCGUUUUCUGUUGUUUAACAGGAUUAUCCUUUGCAUGGGAUACCAGAAUCCGUCAAUAUCUUUACACACCUUCAAACCAAGAAAACCCAUUUCUAUUAAGAGAUAGUGCCUUACAUACGGUCGAUCCGUCUCUCGAAACAAAAAUUAUAAUUCAUGGAUUUUUUGAAAAUGCUGAUCGGUAUUGGCUACGAAAUAUUCGUAGGGCUUAUUUCGAAAGGGGCAACUAUAAUGUCAUAUUGGUAGACUGGUCAUAUUGGGCUAUUUGGAGACCGUUUAACGCUAUCAACAAUAUACCUAAUGUCGGAUUAGAUGUGGGCGAUGCGAUUCUUAAAUUAGUUUCAUCUCAAGCACUAGAUAUUAAAAAAGUUCAUAUUGUUGGAUUCUCGAUGGGAGCACAUGCUGCAGGAUUUGCAGGUCAACGAGUCUAUGAAUCCUUAGGAACAAAGAUUACAAGAAUAACAAGUUUAGAUGGUGUAGGACAAUAUUACAAGGACGUCAAUGACACUGAACGAUUAAGUUCAGACGAUGCCGAUUAUGUUGAUGUUGUCCACACAAGUUGGGUUGGAAGGCAUGAUCCAUAUGGGACUGUUGAUUACUAUGUUAAUGGUAAAAAUUUCCAAAAAGGUUGUCCAGAUAUUUUAACAUUCGAAAGAAGAAGUAUUUUUACAUUUUUAAUCGAUGCCGUGAUUAAUUUAGUGGCGUGUAGCCACGAAAGGUCUCAUGCUUAUUUUAUCGAAAGUAUUAAUUGCAAAGGCAUAACCGGUACGUCCUGUAGUAGUCGUGAUAAUUUUGAUAAAGGAUUGUGCAAGGAGAAUACGAAAACAAUAUUUGGAGAGGACGCCCCUGUAAAAGAUCUUGGUGGAUUAUUUUAUGUUACCACAAAUCAGCACUCUCCAUUUAAUACAUCAGCCUGUUGAAAGAAAUUUUAUUACUCUAUGUAUACCUACACCUAUAUCUAUUGAGCAGUUUUGCAGGAACCCAAUAAGAAAUAAGGUGGUUAUUCUUGUUGUAUUAAUAAUAUGCAGAAUUAUGGCUUACAAACAAAAAUCUGAAAAACUGAAAGCCUUAGUUAGUCUCAUGAAACUUAUGGAAAAUUGACCAUAGGGGCGUUCGUUUUCAAGUAGAAUAGGUAUGAAGAACAUCAGAUAAAACUAUAAAGAAAUGGUAACAGGCGUGG
Molecule: RNA transcript, 1476 nt
Organism: Agrilus planipennis (emerald ash borer)
Lineage: Eukaryota; Metazoa; Arthropoda; Insecta; Coleoptera; Buprestidae
Gene name: hepatic triacylglycerol lipase
Exons: 6
Source: RefSeq, a predicted model, not a curated record